RNAcentral lists this transfer RNA (71 nucleotides) under Osteomugil perusii (longfinned mullet). RNAcentral's name for it is "Moolgarda perusii (longfinned mullet) tRNA-Pro". It matches the Rfam family "tRNA". Rfam says of the family: Transfer RNA (tRNA) molecules are approximately 80 nucleotides in length. Lineage: Eukaryota; Metazoa; Chordata; Actinopteri; Mugiliformes; Mugilidae. The record is from RNAcentral.
CAAGGAGUAGUUUAAUUGCAAAAUACUAGCUUUGGGAGUUAGUGAUAGAAGUUUGAUUCUUCUCUCUUUGA